CAGCAGCCGCGGGAAUACGAAGGGGGCUAGCGUUGUUCGGAUUUACUGGGCGUAAAGCGCACGUAGGCGGACUUUUAAGUCAGGGGUGAAAUCCCGGGGCUCAACCCCGGAACUGCCUUUGAUACUGGAAGUCUUGAGUAUGGUAGAGGUGAGUGGAAUUCCGAGUGUAGAGGUGAAAUUCGUAGAUAUUCGGAGGAACACCAGUGGCGAAGGCGGCUCACUGGACCAUUACUGACGCUGAGGUGCGAAAGCGUGGGGAGCAAACAGGAUUAGAUACCCCCGUAGUCCCUGUCUCUUAUAA
This 301-nucleotide ribosomal RNA is filed under the name uncultured bacterium. RNAcentral's name for it is "partial 16S ribosomal RNA". It matches the Rfam family "Bacterial small subunit ribosomal RNA", at positions 509 to 809 of the family's 1533-position model. The record is from RNAcentral.